Molecule: small RNA, 32 nt
Filed under: Bombyx mori (domestic silkworm)
Lineage: Eukaryota; Metazoa; Arthropoda; Insecta; Lepidoptera; Bombycidae
Description: ovarian small RNA-14380
Source: RNAcentral
CGCGAAGGUCGCGGGUUCGUUCCCCUCAUGGG